Molecule: ribosomal RNA, 497 nt
Filed under: uncultured bacterium
Lineage: Bacteria
Description: partial 16S ribosomal RNA
Rfam family: Bacterial small subunit ribosomal RNA
Source: RNAcentral
GAUGAACGCUGGCGGCGUGCCUAAUACAUGCAAGUCGAGCGAACAGACGAGGAGCUUGCUCCUCUGACGUUAGCGGCGGACGGGUGAGUAACACGUGGAUAACCUACCUAUAAGACUGGGAUAACUUCGGGAAACCGGAGCUAAUACCGGAUAAUAUAUUGAACCGCAUGGUUCAAUAGUGAAAGACGGUUUUGCUGUCACUUAUAGAUGGAUCCGCGCCGCAUUAGCUAGUUGGUAAGGUAACGGCUUACCAAGGCAACGAUGCGUAGCCGACCUGAGAGAGUGAUCGGCCACACUGGAACUGAGACACGGUCCAGACUCCUACGGGAGGCAGCGGUAGGGAAUCUUCCGCAAUGGGCGCAAGCCUGUCGGAGCAAAGCGGCGUGAGUGAUGAAGGUCUUCGGAUCGUAAAACUCUGUUAUUAGGGAAGAACAAAUGUGUAAGUAACUAUGCACGUCUUGACGGUACCUAAUCAGAGAGCCACGGCUAACUACGUG